RNAcentral lists this ribosomal RNA (567 nucleotides) under uncultured bacterium. RNAcentral describes it as "bacterial SSU rRNA". It matches the Rfam family "Bacterial small subunit ribosomal RNA", at positions 338 to 916 of the family's 1533-position model. The record is from RNAcentral.
CCUACGGGAGGCAGCAGUGGGGAAUAUUGGGCAAUGGAGGAAACUCUGACCCAGCGACGCCGCGUGCGGGAUGAAGGCCUUCGGGUUGUAAACCGCUUUCAGCAGGGAAGAAGCGAAAGUGACGGUACCUGCAGAAGAAGCACCGGCUAACUAUGUGCCAGCAGCCGCGGUAAUACAUAGGGUGCAAGCGUUGUCCGGAAUUAUUGGGCGUAAAGAGCUCGUAGGUGGUUCGUCACGUCGGAUGUGAAACUCUGGGGCUUAACCCCAGACCUGCAUUCGAUACGGGCGAGCUUGAGUAUGGUAGGGGAGUCUGGAAUUCCUGGUGUAGCGGUGGAAUGCGCAGAUAUCAGGAGGAACACCAAUGGCGAAGGCAGGACUCUGGGCCAUUACUGACACUGAGGAGCGAAAGCGUGGGGAGCGAACAGGAUUAGAUACCCUGGUAGUCCACGCCGUAAACGGUGGGCACUAGUUGUGGGGACCUUCCACGGUCUCUGCGACGCAGCUAACGCAUUAAGUGCCCCGCCUGGGGAGUACGAUCGCAAGAUUAAAACUCAAAUGAAUUGACGG